AUGAAAAACCCUGGGAAAUCACACCCAGUAGAACACUCUAUGGAUUAUGCCCGUUUUCGACAAGUACAGUUACUAGGGAAUUUACGGACGUUGACAGCCAAACAAAUUCCUCCCCACACUUGUAAUCCUAGCAGCUCACAGAAAUACACAUAUAAGUAUAGUUCCUCUUACGCUAAGUGGAAAGGCAGGAUAAUUCUAAACUCGGAUGCAGCCAAACAGGUGACAAGCACAUGCGAGGGCGGUACACAUACGCGCCUGGGGAAAGAAAAAAAAAACACCACCCAUCUGCAUGCACGCAUCUGUCCAAGCCGCGCCACCACACCAGUCCCUACCCCAGGUUUCCAGAAACUACACGAACGAAUAUCUUCCCUCCCUACUUAA
RNAcentral lists this ribosomal RNA (381 nucleotides) under Triticum aestivum (bread wheat). RNAcentral describes it as "partial small subunit ribosomal RNA". The record is from RNAcentral. Lineage: Eukaryota; Viridiplantae; Streptophyta; Magnoliopsida; Poales; Poaceae.